GUGGAGAUGCCGGAGUCUGGUUGAACGGAGUUGGCUUAGAACCAUCUGUCAUUAGGACUAAACGCGCAGGUUCAAAUCCUGCUCUCCACA
This 90-nucleotide transfer RNA is filed under the name Candidatus Woesearchaeota archaeon. RNAcentral describes it as "tRNA-Leu". It matches the Rfam family "tRNA". Rfam says of the family: Transfer RNA (tRNA) molecules are approximately 80 nucleotides in length. Their secondary structure includes four short double-helical elements and three loops (D, anti-codon, and T loops). Lineage: Archaea; Nanobdellati; Candidatus Woesearchaeota. The record is from RNAcentral.